ACCAGACUCCUACGGGAGGCAGCAGUGGGGGAUAUUGCACAAUGGGGGGAACCCUGAUGCAGCGACGCCGCGUGGGUGAAGAAGCGCCUCGGCGCGUAAAGCCCUGUCAGCAGGGAAGAAAAUGACGGUACCUGAAGAAGAAGCCCCGGCUAACUACGUGCCAGCAGCCGCGGUAAUACGUAGGGGGCAAGCGUUAUCCGGAUUUACUGGGUGUAAAGGGGGCGCAGACGGCGAUGCAAGCCAGGAGUGAAAGCCCGGAGCCCAACCCCGGGACUGCUCUUGGAACUGCGUGGCUGGAGUGUAGGAGGGGCAGGCGGAAUUCCUGGUGUAGCGGUGAAAUGCGUAGAUAUCAGGAGGAACACCGGUGGCGAAGGCGGCCUGCUGGACUGCAACUGACGUUGAGGCCCGAAAGCGUGGGGAGCAAACAGGAUUAGAUACCCCCGUA
Molecule: ribosomal RNA, 445 nt
Filed under: uncultured bacterium
Lineage: Bacteria
Description: partial 16S ribosomal RNA
Rfam family: Bacterial small subunit ribosomal RNA
Source: RNAcentral